This 73-nucleotide transfer RNA is filed under the name Vicugna pacos (alpaca). RNAcentral's name for it is "tRNA-Gly (ACC) (tRNA-Gly-ACC-10-1)". It matches the Rfam family "tRNA". Rfam says of the family: Transfer RNA (tRNA) molecules are approximately 80 nucleotides in length. Their secondary structure includes four short double-helical elements and three loops (D, anti-codon, and T loops). Further hydrogen bonds mediate the characteristic L-shaped molecular structure. tRNAs have two regions of fundamental functional importance: the anti-codon, which is responsible for specific mRNA codon recognition, and the 3' end, to which the tRNAs corresponding amino acid is attached (by aminoacyl-tRNA synthetases). tRNAs cope with the degeneracy of the genetic code in two manners: having more than one tRNA (with a specific anti-codon) for a particular amino acid; and 'wobble' base-pairing, i.e. permitting non-standard base-pairing at the 3rd anti-codon position. Lineage: Eukaryota; Metazoa; Chordata; Mammalia; Artiodactyla; Camelidae. The record is from RNAcentral.
GGAGGAUAUAGUUCAGUGGUAGAGCACAUGCUUACCAUGCAUGAGGUCCUGGGUUCAAUCCCCAGUACCUCCA